This 1258-nucleotide long non-coding RNA is filed under the name Bos indicus x Bos taurus (hybrid cattle). RNAcentral's name for it is "lncRNA (ENSBIXG00005026290.1)". Lineage: Eukaryota; Metazoa; Chordata; Mammalia; Artiodactyla; Bovidae. The record is from RNAcentral.
AUGACUAGUGCGAAGUCCUGCUCCUCUGAAUUUCCAUUAAUUCUCCAAGCCAAGACUUGCUGCACUAUAGUGAGCGAAGAACAGUUCCAUCUCGUUUCUGACAGAGGGCAGCAUUUCGUUUUCUACCACAGAGAGGUGUAUUCCUGGAGCUUGCAAAUGACGCCAGCUCAAAAUAAAGAAAAACAAAUUGAAAUGAGGAUUUUAAUCACUGUGAAGGGAAUGAAAGGCUGUGUCAGCGUUUCCAUGCUCGCAGCUUGAGCUCCAGGGAUGCGAGGGGAAUGAAGAUCACAAAUGUCAGCCAAAGAGGAGGCACUCUGGGUGAAACAAGAUGCAGUCUGAACCUUGGUCACAUCACAUCCAAGUCACCUCUGCUUGUUUGGCUUCAAACAGUAUCAGGUUUGUUUUUUUGUGUGUGUGCGUCUUUUUAAAAAUAUAUAUCUUGAUUAGAGGAUGAUUACUUUACAAUACUGUGAUAGCUUUUAGCAUACAUUGGUAUGAGUCGGCCAUAGGCAUACGUGUGUCCCUUCCCUCGGGAACCCCCUUUCCACCUCUCUCCCCACCCAUCCCUCUAGGUUGUCACACAGCACCGGCUUUGAGUGCCCUGCAUCAUACAUCAAACUCCCACUGGCUAUGUAUUUUACAUAUGGUAAUGUAUAUGUUUCAAUGCUGUUCUCUCAAAUCAUCCCACCCUCUCCUCCCACUGAGUCCAAAAGUCCGUUCUUUAUGUCUGUGUCUCCUUUGCUGCUGUACACAUAGGCCCGUCGGUACUAUCUUUGUAGAUUCCAUAUAUAUGCAUUAAUAUACUCUUUCUCUUCUGACUUACUUCACUCUGUAUGAUAGGCUCUAGGUUCAUCCACCUGAUUAAAACUGACUCAAAUGCAUUCCUUUUUAUAGCUGAGUAAUAUUCCAUCGUGUAUAUGUACCACAGCUUCCUUAUCCAUUCAUCUCCUGAUGGACAGCUAGGUUUCUCUCAUGUCCUGGGUAUUGUAAAUAGUGCUGCAGUGAACACUGGGGUACGUGUCUUUUUCAAUUACACUUUUCUCAGGGUAUAUGCCCAGUAGUGGGAUUUCUGGGUCACAUGAUAGUUUUAGUCCUAGUUUUUAAAGGAAGCUCCAUAUUCUUCUCCAUAGUGGUUGUAUCAGUCUACAUUCCCACCAAUGAUCAGGACCAGAUUUAAUGACACUGUGGUGUGCCCUUUAUUUGAAACAGGCUGAUGUGGUGGAGAGAAAGCUUUUGCAAUAGAGGAGAAAAGGUACCA